GGAGAAGUGAAUGUAUCAAGAUGUUACAGUUUGUCAGGAGGCAGAAAAGAAAGGUGUGGUGUGUUGACCUUGGCCAGCUGACCACAUUGCUCUCUGUUCCCCUCCUCACCAAGUCAGUGGGAGAAAACAAAAAUAAAAGCUGAUAGGCCAAGGUAAAUGUAGGGAGAUUACUUACCUAUUCCCAUUGUAAGCAAAACAGGCUCUGUGGGCCACCAGGCCGCCUCUGCUCUUAGCACUCAGUGCCCUCCUCCUUCCCUCAGCAUUUUUUUCUGGCCUCAGUGUUAGCAGAGUUGUUUUUGCUUUUCCUUUACUUUGCACUGCUCUCCAGUGUUUUGCCCUUUCUGGAACAUUCGCACAGCGGCACCAGCGAUUCUUCUGAUGGGCUUAGCUGUGGAACCAGCUGUGGUAGGCCAGGCCCUUCUCCUCACAGAACCCGUCCUGCAGCCCUGCUGAUGCUAGCACCUGGCUGCCCGCAACAAAAGGAAAGGCUUGGUACCACACUGCGGAAACCACAAUCUGCUGUCCUCAUGCCAAGAUCAUAUGGGUGCUGAGCCAAGAGAACAACACAUCCCAUUCUGUGGCUCAAUGUGUCCACUACCAGGUGCUGACAAUUGUCUGUGCUCCAAACCAGCUGGAUACAAGGUAGUUCUUGCUCAAAAGUCGUGUGGCAGAGUUACUGGAAAAAGGAGCUGAAGCUACUGUAUCCCACCUUUUGCUUCAGGUGCCAAAGAAGGUAGUGACUUGGGACUAAGUCUUCCAGUGCAUCAUGUGACCAGCCCAGCUCCAGAACAGAACAAAAAACAAACUGGUUACAGCGUAUGAACAAGGUUCGGAGCAUGGAAAUUGAAUGAGAUGUCACUCAGAAACUCCAACAGAACUGAGAAUAUUUAUUUUCUGAAUUGUAAA
Molecule: long non-coding RNA, 906 nt
Organism: Numida meleagris (helmeted guineafowl)
Lineage: Eukaryota; Metazoa; Chordata; Aves; Galliformes; Numididae
Exons: 5
Source: RefSeq, a predicted model, not a curated record